UCCUUAUUAGCGGUAAAGAAUCUGCCUGCAAUGCAGGAGACCCAGGUUCAAUCCCUGGGUUGGGAA
This 66-nucleotide transfer RNA is filed under the name Bos taurus (domestic cattle). It matches the Rfam family "tRNA". From Rfam's summary of the family: Transfer RNA (tRNA) molecules are approximately 80 nucleotides in length. Their secondary structure includes four short double-helical elements and three loops (D, anti-codon, and T loops). Lineage: Eukaryota; Metazoa; Chordata; Mammalia; Artiodactyla; Bovidae. RNAcentral also lists the same sequence under 4 other names. The record is from Rfam by way of RNAcentral.